AUUUGAAACCCUAGCUGUUCCAUGAUUUUUUCUUUUUCCAAGGAUUAUUCACAAAUGGUAAAACUUGCAAGAACAAAGGAAAAAAGUCCAACAGGGGUGUUGAUCAUGAUCAGAACAUUCUCCUGGGGAAUCCAAAGUUUAUCAGAAUGAUCCGAAACAGUACGUGACAUGUGAGAGAGUUGGUUGGCGGGGAUUUCUACUUUCACUUUUGAGGAUGCAGUAAACGGACGACAGGAGGGGAAGCUGCGCAUUUCCUCGUUGGAUGAUUUGUGUACAUGUGUGGACGUGGAUGUCAUUUCAUUUGGAUUUAAGAGGCUGAGCAAAGGCACAAAGAAAAUGUUUCCUGAGUAUAGAAUCUGAACAGAGGAUAUUGCAUCAUUCCUGAUCAGGCAAGUCUAGCUUGUUCAUUUAUUUCAUUUAUCAUUUCUUUUCUUUUCUUUCUUUUUUUUUUUUGAAUUAUUUUUUAUUCAUUUAUUGGUUUACAAUAUUAUAGAAGGUGAAAUGUACAUGUUUAACUCUUUCUGUGUAUGUGUAUUUGUUUUAUUUUUUUUUAUUGGGGGGGGGGGAGGUUAUCAGUUUGUGUAGAGUGUCAAUUUUGUGUAUUGCUUAAAGAUCAGUACCAGUGUCCUAAUGUUGAACAUUGGGCAGAUAUGUAAAUUGGUACUUGGUUGGUUCAUGCAGUCCUCCUUGACAUUGACAGAACUUUCCCAUGGAGACUCUUUCUCCAAGUUAUGCGUAGAUAAUCGGUCAUCUAUCUGUGUCUCGCAAGUACUUGAUGCAGACAGCUAUCAUGCUGAAUCCCGUGAAGGAAGGGGAUAUAUAGACUUCCUUUGGAAUGACGUACAUACUCAAUGUUGCGUCACUUGUGGAGACCCAUAUCUUGAAGAAUGACCUUGACUUUUGACCUUAACCCCAUUUUUAAGGUCAACUACUCAAUUCCUUGUGGAGGAGAAAGUGACUUUGACCUUGACCCACUUUCAAUGUCAUUCAAGGUCAACAAUCCUAGAAUAUCAUGUGACUACUCCUAAAGAUGUAGAUGGAGCUUUAUGAUAGAAAACAUCAUUUUUCGGCCCCUAUUUUCUCCCUUG
Ostrea edulis (European flat oyster) is the source of this 1088-nucleotide long non-coding RNA. RefSeq lists it as uncharacterized. NCBI's taxonomy places the organism in Eukaryota, Metazoa, Mollusca, Bivalvia, Ostreida, Ostreidae. The record is from RefSeq and is a predicted model, not a curated record. The transcript is spliced from 3 exons.